Molecule: ribosomal RNA, 253 nt
Filed under: uncultured bacterium
Lineage: Bacteria
Description: partial 16S ribosomal RNA
Rfam family: Bacterial small subunit ribosomal RNA
Source: RNAcentral
UACGGAGGAGGCAAGCAUUAUCCGGAAUUAUUGGGCGUAAAGCGUCCGCAGGUGGCGAUUCAAGUCUGCGGUUAAAGACUGGGGCUUAACCCUGGAAAGGCCGUGGAAACUGAAACGCUAGAGUGCAGUAGGGGUAGAGGGAAUUCCCGGUGUAGCGGUGAAAUGCGUAGAGCUCGGGAAGAACAUCGGUGGCGAAAGCGCUCUGCUGGACUGCAACUGACACUCAGGGACGAAAGCUAGGGGAGCGAAUGGG